AUUGAACGCUGGCGGAAUGCUUUACACAUGCAAGUCGAAUGGCAGCACGGGGGCAACCCUGGUGGCGAGUGGCGAACGGGUGAGUAAUACAUCGGAACGUGCCCAGUCGUGGGGGAGAACGUAGCGAAAGUUACGCUAAUACCGCAUACGAUCUACGGAUGAAAGCGGGGGACCGUAAGGACUAGCGCGAUUGGAGCGGUCGAUGUCAGAUUAGGUAGUUGGUGAGGUAAAGGCUCACCAAGCCGACAAUCUGUAGCUGGUCUGAGAGGACGACCAGCCACACUGGGACUGAGACACGGCCCAGACUCCUACGGGAGGCAGCAGUGGGGAAUUUUGGACAAUGGGCGCAAGCCUGAUCCAGCCAUUCCGCGUGCAGGACGAAGGCCUUCGGGUUGUAAACUGCUUUUGUACGGAACGAAAAGGCUCUGGUUAAUACCUGGGGCUCAUGACGGUACCGUAAGAAUAAGCACCGGCUAACUACGUGCCAGCAGCCGCAGUAA
This 500-nucleotide ribosomal RNA is filed under the name uncultured bacterium. RNAcentral describes it as "partial 16S ribosomal RNA". It matches the Rfam family "Bacterial small subunit ribosomal RNA", at positions 30 to 523 of the family's 1533-position model. The record is from RNAcentral.